GCUGGGGUGGCGGAAUAGGCAGACGCACAGGACUUAAAAUCCUGCGGUGGGUGACCACCGUGUCGGUUCGAGUCCGACCCUCAGCACCA
This 89-nucleotide transfer RNA is filed under the name Thermoactinomyces vulgaris. Its description in RNAcentral is "tRNA-Leu". It matches the Rfam family "tRNA". From Rfam's summary of the family: Transfer RNA (tRNA) molecules are approximately 80 nucleotides in length. Their secondary structure includes four short double-helical elements and three loops (D, anti-codon, and T loops). RNAcentral also lists the same sequence under 2 other names. Lineage: Bacteria; Bacillati; Bacillota; Bacilli; Caryophanales; Thermoactinomycetaceae. The record is from RNAcentral.